AGAAUAACAAAUAUAACAUCAAAACCAAAUACAUGAAUUUGGGAUAGAAAAGUACCGUGACACGUCUUAUAGUAAUGUGAAUUCACACUAAAAUAUAAGAGAAAACAAACGACACAACGGAAACACAACGUAAAAAUGUUACACACACAGAAACAAACUAUGAUAUAACAAUGGCCAUUUUCCUGACUUGGUACAGGACAUUUUUAAAGAAAAAAAUGGUGGGUUGAACCUGGUUUUGUGGCAUG
Molecule: long non-coding RNA, 245 nt
Filed under: Mytilus galloprovincialis (Mediterranean mussel)
Lineage: Eukaryota; Metazoa; Mollusca; Bivalvia; Mytilida; Mytilidae
Source: RNAcentral